CGCAUGUGUGGAAACCUCGGGUAUCAGAGGACCAUCGCUAGUCAGCACGUUUGGUAGUAUCUCUGACUGCUGUUGAUCUUGUUUUUGGAGUAAAACACGGUGGAAGCUGAAUUAGUGAGGAUGACUCCUGCUCCUGUCAUCUCUAAGCUCCUCACACAUCUUUACCUGCACAUGAGGAAAAUCACUCCUGCAGAAUGCAGAUGUUCAGAGGGAGAUGAUGCCACAUCUGGUCCAGCUGAUGGAAGGUCUUGAAGUUCUCUGACUGGCCUCGACUGAAGAUGGUCGUCUCACUGGAUUUAAGAUGCACAAUGAGGGACGUCUGCAGAGACUGAGAAAGAGUCUCACCACAUCCUGACAUGAGGAAAAAGACUUUAUUGAAGACUACAAUGAGAAAAACUAUCAGACACCAGACGGCUGCAUUCAAGGUGAGCUCUGAACAUUUGAUCUGGAACAGGAAUUCAAUAACGGCAGCAUGAGCUUCAUUUCAGUCUGUAGCUGCUGAAUUCAUGGAUGAAUCAUCUGGCACUAGAGAGGAAGACCAUCAAACAUCCACAUCAGCUGAUGAAGGUCCAAGAGUCUCACCGAACAAACAACCUACAGAGUGAAGACCUCAAAUCUGAUUGGACGGCCUCCUAUUCAGCCACGUGUGAACAAAUGCCUCUAAGCUGAUUUGUUUUCUAAAAUAAAUCUAGUUUGAGUCCUAAUCUAUGCCUGUGUGUUUGCUUCUUUACACCGCUGUUAACAGUUUAGGCUGUUAGAUCGUUCCAGAUAAGACAAGUACAAGAUUCUUCAGAGCCGUUCUACCACGAGCCUGACAGGAAGAACUCCAACAGCUACUGAAUGUUCCUGUGGUUCCCUCAAGGCUACAGGAGGAGCCCUACGAGGACGAGCCGGUCCACCUGAUGGAGGCCAGUUGCUGCGGUUCAAAGCCAACACCGACUACGUGGACUUCUACUGGACCACACGGAGGCCUUCAAACCGGACCAACAAGUUCACCGACUCCCCGACUCGUGGGUCUGAGGACGCCGCCGAGCCUCGGCCCAGCCGGCCUCCUGUCUGUGGGUGUUUGAGUGCUGAGAGGUUUGUGGAUGCAUGUGAACGUGUCUGUGUUGAAACAGCAGCUUUGGACUCACUAACGCCAGGGAAAAACCAAGAGCUCCUUUAUUUGUGACUUCCACUAAAAAACUGAUGAAAAUAAGUUUGCCAGGGUUCUGAGUGAUAACAGAUUAUUAAAUAAUGAAAAUAAUUGUUAAAAUAUUCCUUUAAACAAUCCUUUUAGGUCUACAUUUCCUUUACACUGACUUCUUGGUAUAUGCACAAGUAUUUUGGGUGAAAUAUACCAUUAAGCCUAAUGUUCAACAGUUUUUCUGGGAAUAUACCAUUAAACCAACCUUUUAGGUAAAUGUUCCAGGAUGUUGGGUAGAAUAUACCAUCAGAUCAACCUUUUAGGUCUAUAUUGGAAGAUUUUAGAGUAGAAUAUUACUCCAAACCAUCCUUUAGGUCUAUAUUUAAGGUGGAAUACUCCUUUACACCAAGAUUUUUUUGGUCUCGGAUUUUGGAUGGAAUACUCGGUUAAACCAACAUUUUAGGUGCAUGUCCGAGGAUUUUUGGUGGAAUGUUCCUUUAAGGUGGAUGUUUGAGGACCUUGUAGGUGGAAUACUUCCUGAAACCAACCUUUUAGGUCAACAUUCAAAGGUUGAAGGUGGUAUAUUCCUUUAAACCAACCUAAAUUUCAUGUUUUUGAUCAUUAUCAAGUGAGAAACCUCAAUCCAGACUCCUCAUAAUGACGCUGGAGAUUUAUGCUGCUAUUAUUUGUUUAGUCCAGACUAAAUGACAGAAAUCCACAACUGUAAUUUUAUUUCAGGACUUGAUUAUUAAAUGUCAAAACAAUCCAUGUGAUUCUAAAAAGUCAACAGCUUUACAAACUCUAAGAUUAAACUCUCCACAAGGAUCCAAAAUAAGUUGGACUUCUACAUGAGAGCUUUAAUUAUUCUUCAUCUACUUCCUGAAAAGUUUGGUCAAUAAAAAAGACAAAAACUAAUAUUUUCAGCUGAACUAAAGACAGACUUUGUGAUUUUUCUGCUCACAUGUUGUGUUGUUGUAAACUUCCUCUUUCAAAUAAAUAUCCUCCUAACCCCCUGGAAA
Molecule: long non-coding RNA, 2145 nt
Organism: Amphiprion ocellaris (clown anemonefish)
Lineage: Eukaryota; Metazoa; Chordata; Actinopteri; Pomacentridae
Exons: 4
Source: RefSeq, a predicted model, not a curated record